Triticum aestivum (bread wheat) is the source of this 124-nucleotide non-coding RNA. NCBI's taxonomy places the organism in Eukaryota, Viridiplantae, Streptophyta, Magnoliopsida, Poales, Poaceae. The record is from Rfam.
CUUAUAUUCCCUCCGUCCGGAAAUACUUGUCCCCAAAAUGAUUGUAUGUAGACUUAUUUUAGUUAUAGAUACAUCCAUUUUAUCCAUUUGUUGGACAAGUAUUUCCCGACAGAGGGAGUAUUUA